Molecule: non-coding RNA, 30 nt
Filed under: Rattus norvegicus (Norway rat)
Lineage: Eukaryota; Metazoa; Chordata; Mammalia; Rodentia; Muridae
Source: RNAcentral
UAGAGAUUUUAUAUUGUUCAUUCUUUGGGC